ACGGAAGGCAGCAGUGGGGAAUAUUGCACAAGGGGGGAAACCCUGAUGCAGCGAUGCCGCGUGGAGGAAGAAGGUUUUCGGAUUGUAAACUCCUGUCUUAAAGGACGAUAAUGACGGUACUUUAGGAGGAAGCUCCGGCUAACUACGUGCCAGCAGCCGCGGUAAUACGUAGGGAGCGAGCGUUGUCCGGAAUUACUGGGUGUAAAGGGAGCGUAGGCGGGAUUGCAAGUCAGAUGUGAAAACUAUGGGCUUAACCCAUAGACUGCAUUUGAAACUGUAGUUCUUGAGUGAAGUAGAGGUAAGCGGAAUUCCUGGUGUAGCGGUGAAAUGCGUAGAUAUUAGGAGGAACACCAGUGGCGAAGGCGGCUUACUGGACUGUAGCUGACAUUGAGGCUCGAAAGCGUGGGGAGCAAACAGGAUUAGAUACCCUGGUA
RNAcentral lists this ribosomal RNA (434 nucleotides) under uncultured Ruminococcus sp. Its description in RNAcentral is "partial 16S ribosomal RNA". It matches the Rfam family "Bacterial small subunit ribosomal RNA", at positions 341 to 792 of the family's 1533-position model. The record is from RNAcentral. Lineage: Bacteria; Bacillati; Bacillota; Clostridia; Eubacteriales; Oscillospiraceae.